Molecule: unclassified non-coding RNA, 336 nt
Filed under: soil metagenome
Description: partial contains 5.8S ribosomal RNA, internal transcribed spacer 2, and large subunit ribosomal RNA
Rfam family: 5.8S ribosomal RNA (bases 1-120)
Source: RNAcentral
GAUGAAGAACGCAGCGAAAUGCGAUAAGUAAUGUGAAUUGCAGAAUUCAGUGAAUCAUCGAAUCUUUGAACGCACAUUGCGCCCGCCAGUAUUCUGGCGGGCAUGCCUGUUCGAGCGUCAUUUCAACCAUCAAGCCCCCGGCUUGUGUUGGGGACCUGCGGCUGCCGCAGGCCCUGAAAACCAGUGGCGGGCUCGCUGUCACACCGAGCGUAGUAGAUUUUCAUCUCGCUCAGGGCGUGCUGCGGGUUCCGGCCGUAAAAAGCCUUAUUUACCCAAGGUUGACCUCGGAUCAGGUAGGAGGACCCGCUGAACUUAAGCAUAUCAAUAAGCGGAGGA